ACAAUGGGGGCAACCCUGAUCCAGCCAUGCCGCGUGUGUGAAGAAGGCCUUUUGGUUGUAAAGCACUUUAAGCAGGGAGGAGAGGCUAAUGGUUAAUACCCAUUAGAUUAGACGUUACCUGCAGAAUAAGCACCGGCUAACUCUGUGCCAGCAGCCGCGGUAAUACAGAGGGUGCGAGCGUUAAUCGGAAUUACUGGGCGUAAAGC
RNAcentral lists this ribosomal RNA (206 nucleotides) under Asterionellopsis glacialis. RNAcentral's name for it is "partial Bacterial small subunit ribosomal RNA". It matches the Rfam family "Bacterial small subunit ribosomal RNA", at positions 368 to 566 of the family's 1533-position model. The record is from RNAcentral. Lineage: Eukaryota; Bacillariophyta; Plagiogrammaphyceae; Rhaphoneidales; Asterionellopsidaceae.